AGAAGCUCAUGGGCUCUUAUCAGAUGAAAGUACCCCAGACCUUGCAGGAUUAGGAACCUCAUCUGGCCUGAACAGAAGAUGCUGCCAGGGGAAGUUGCUGCCACCAAGAGGGCCAAAACCAAAGUGAGUGUCUGCAUCAACCCCUCAGGCACUGCUAGACCAACAAAAAUGUACAACACCAAUUUUUGGAAGAGAAAGUCCCCACUACCUACUCUGGUACCAGCGAGCCUAGAAUAUGGACUGCUGUCCUCAAAGCUGUGAUGGGAAUGGUAGCUGGUUCACUUAUGUUGCUGUCUUAGGAAAGAUCAGCAGUCCCUCCCUUCAUCAAGCCCUCCCCUGGUUAUUUUAAGUGUCUAGUUAGGUUCCACUAUUUAGUUCCUAAAUAGUUGAUUCUAGUCACUCCUUCUGGGUCAAUGGUUGUUUCAGUAGAGGGAUAGCUCCUGGAGCUUCCUGCUCUGUUAGUUUUCAUGACAUCACUCCUGAAAGCCUGAUUUUUAUUUAUUUUAUUUUAUUUUUUUCUCCAACUUUACUGAAGUGUAAUUGACAAAUAAAAGUUGUGUAUAUUAAAGGCAUACAACAUGAUGUUUUGAGGUAUACACACACACACACAUUGUAAAGCAGUUACCAUAAUCUAGCUAAUUAACAUAUUCAUCACCUUACACAGUUCCAUUUUUUCAUAUGUGGUUGGUGAGAAUGCUUAAGAUCUAUCUACUGUCUUAGCAAAUUUCAAGUAUAAAUUGUUAUAAACUACCAUUGUUGUAAACUGCCAUCACUAUGUUGUUAUUACGUCUCCAGGACUUAUUCAUCUUAUAACUGAAAGUUUAUAUCCUUGACCAAUGUCUUCCCAUUUCCUCCACUAUCCAGCCCCUGGCAACCACCAUUCUAUUUUCUGUUUCUGAGUUCAUCUUUCUUAGAUUCUACAUGUAUGUGAGAUCAUGCAGUAUUUGUCUGUCUGUGUCUGGCUUAUUUCACUUGCAUAAUGUCCUCCAGGUUCAUCCAUAUUGUCACAUAUGUCAGGAUUUCAUCUUCUUUUUUUAAAGCUGAAUAAUAUUCCACAGUGUAUAUAUAGCGCAUUUUCUCUGUUCAUAGAUCUGUUGCUAGACACUUAAGUUGUUUCCAUAUCUUAACUAUUGUCAGUGAUGCUGCACUGAACGUGGAAUUCAGAUACUUUUUUGAGAACAUGAUUUUAUUUUCUUUGGCUAUAUAUCUAGAAGGAGGAUUUCUGGAUCAUAUGGUAAUUCUAUUUUUAAUUUUUUCAGAAACUUCCAUACUGUUUUCCGUAAUGGUUGCACCAAUUUACAUUCCCAUUAUCAAUGCAUAAGAGUUGUUUUUUUCCUCCUUGCCAUACACUUGUUAACUUUUGACGUUUUGAUCAUAGUCAUCCUAACAGGUGUGAGAUGAUAUCUUAUUGUUUUGAUUUGCAUUUGCCUCAUGAUUAGCGAUAUUGAGCACCUUUUCAUACACUUGUUGGCCAUUUGUAUGUCAUCUUUGGAAAAAAAUCUAUCAGUGUCUUUUGCCCAUUUUUUUUUCUUGGAGACAGGGUAUUUAUUUAUUAUUUAUUUGUUGGGAUGGAGUCUCGCUCUGUUGCCCAGACUGGAGUGCAGUGGCGCAAUCUCGGCUCACUGCAAGCUCCACCUCUUGGGUUCACACCAUUUCUCCUGCCUCAGCAUCCCCAGUAGCUGGGACCAUAGGCGCCUGCUACCAGGCCUGGCUAAUUUUUUGUAUUUUUAAAGUAGAGACAGGGUUUCACCGUCUUAGUCAGGAUGGUCUCGAUCUCCUGACCUUGUGAUCCACCAGCCUUGGCCUCCCAAAGUGCUGGGAUUACAGGUGUGAGCCACCGCGCCCGGCCGGAGACAGGGCCUUGCUCUGUUGCCCAGGCUGGAGGGCAGUGGCAUGAUCAUAACUCACUGCAGCCUUGACUUCUGGGGCUCAGGCAAUCUUCUUGCCACCCAAGCAGCUCAGACUAUAGGUGCACCUCAUCAUUCCCAAUUAAUCUUUAAAAAUUUUUUUUUAGAGACAAGGUCUUACUGUGCUGCCCAGGCUGGUCACAAACUCCUGAGCUCAAGGGAUCCUACUGCCUGAACCUCUCAAAGUGCUAGGAUUACAGGCAUGAGCCGCUGUGCCUAGCCCCUUUGCCCAUCUUUAAGUUGGGAUAUAAUUAUUAUUAUUAUUAUUUGCUGCUGAGUUGUAUGAGUUCCUUAUAUAUUUUAGAUAUUAAUAUCUCAUCUUAUAUAUAUGGGGUUCAAAUAUUUUAUCCCAUUCCUUUCAUUGCCUUUUCAUUUUACAGAUUGUUUUUGCUGUACAGAAACUUUUCGGUUUGGUACAGUCCCCCUUGUUUGUUUUUGCUUUUUUUGCCUGUGCUUUUGGUACCGUAUCAAAAAAAAAAAAAAAAAA
RNAcentral lists this long non-coding RNA (2394 nucleotides) under Macaca fascicularis (crab-eating macaque). RNAcentral's name for it is "lncRNA (ENSMFAG00000054945.1)". Lineage: Eukaryota; Metazoa; Chordata; Mammalia; Primates; Cercopithecidae. The record is from RNAcentral.